UUUUCAUCAAUUUCACGCGCGUUGCUUUCUUUCACCUCACGCGAUUUCUGAAAAUUCUCCUUUCUUCAUCGUUUCAGCACCAUUCUUUCUUUAGUCAUUGUUCUACUCCGAAAACGGUCAUUCCGGCGAUAUCUCCACAACCACUUCUUAGUUCCGACGAUAUCUCGACAACCACUUCUCAAUUUCGGUUAUUAACAGGUUGGAAAUUGUUCACCCUAAUUUGAUUCACAUUUUUCCCAAUUUAAUUCAAUACCCCAAUUUUUUACAUCUUGUUUUGUUGUUGCGACUUUAAGAAUCCUUUUCAGCAUUUUGGGUGUUGUUAUGCUUGGAACCUUUAUAUACACUCUUGUCACUGAUGGUUCUCCUUUCCGUACAGCUAUUGACUCCGUUCAAUUUCCAGUGGAUAAGAUGAUGACAAUGUGAGAAAUGGUCAAACAUGGAUGCUUCUCAAGGAAAUUUAUAUGUCAGACAACAAACAGAGAAUACGAACUUGAAGAAUAAGAAAAAAAAAUAGAUUUUAUGUGCUACUGUGUUUGACAACAGUCCUAUGCAGAGUUGCAGUUUUUCAGUGAUGCCACUGCAGUUGCGGUUUGGUGUUGUGUUUGGGAGGCUUGCUAGCGUGUUUUGAAGUUGCUUCUGGAUAGCUUUUAUUGCUAUUUUGGUUUCUGUUAUGUUAAGGUAGCAGGUUUCCAGGGGUUUUUAUCGUUGAGUUUUGAUUUUGGUGGAGAGGCGCCCUUUAUUUUAAGGCCCUCCUUAAUUGUACUCUUUUUGCAACAUCAAAUGUAAUUUCUAUUUUGUGUAUUUGUGAUGUAAUUCACAUUUGUAUUGA
Medicago truncatula (barrel medic) is the source of this 829-nucleotide long non-coding RNA. RefSeq lists it as uncharacterized. The transcript has 2 exons. Lineage: Eukaryota; Viridiplantae; Streptophyta; Magnoliopsida; Fabales; Fabaceae. The record is from RefSeq and is a predicted model, not a curated record.